Molecule: ribosomal RNA, 564 nt
Filed under: Peltophryne peltocephala (Tschudi's Caribbean toad)
Lineage: Eukaryota; Metazoa; Chordata; Amphibia; Anura; Bufonidae
Description: Peltophryne peltocephalus (Tschudi's Caribbean toad) partial 16S ribosomal RNA
Rfam family: Bacterial large subunit ribosomal RNA
Source: RNAcentral
CGCCUCUUGAAUUAAUAUAAGAGGUCCAGCCUGCCCAGUGACCCUGUUCAACGGCCGCGGUAUCCUAACCGUGCGAAGGUAGCGUAAUCACUUGUUCUUUAAAUGAGGACUAGUAUGAACGGCAUCACGAAGGUUAUACUGUCUCCUUUUUCUAAUCAGUGAACCUAAUCUCCCCGUGAAGAAGCGGGAAUAUAACUAUAAGACGAGAAGACCCUAUGGAGCUUAAAACAACACAGCACUUGCUAAAAAACUAAGCAUUCCCGAAUUUUUACUUUCUAGGCAACAUGACUGUAAGUUUUUGGUUGGGGUGACCACGGAGUACAAUAUAACCUCCAUGUUGAAAGAAUUUUUUUCUAAGCCAAAAAUUACACUUUUAAGCAUCAAUAAAUUGACAUCUGUUGACCCAAUAUAUUUGAACAACGAACCAAGUUACCCUAGGGAUAACAGCGCAAUCCACUUCAAGAGCUCCUAUCGACAAGUGGGUUUACGACCUCGAUGUUGGAUCAGGGUUUCCCAGUGGUGCAGCCGCUACUAAAGGUUCGUUUGUUCAACGAUUAAAACCCU